Molecule: long non-coding RNA, 218 nt
Filed under: Gallus gallus (chicken)
Lineage: Eukaryota; Metazoa; Chordata; Aves; Galliformes; Phasianidae
Source: RNAcentral
ACCAGGAUUUCCUCACCUUCGGUGAAAGUCAAGUCGCCAGGCUCAGAGCUUGAAUACGAAUACAGUGCAACAUACUCCUCUCCUGCUGGGUAGGGCUGUGCACUGGACUUCUUCUUUACUGCUGCAUAAAUAGCUUCUGGUUCCUCUUUCUUCUCACUUCCAGGUAAGAGCUUGACGUACGACUUGGGAAACCAACCCCUUCCUCCAUGCACCUCCCC